Molecule: ribosomal RNA, 466 nt
Filed under: uncultured Flavobacteriaceae bacterium
Lineage: Bacteria; Pseudomonadati; Bacteroidota; Flavobacteriia; Flavobacteriales; Flavobacteriaceae
Description: bacterial SSU rRNA
Rfam family: Bacterial small subunit ribosomal RNA
Source: RNAcentral
GGCGCACGGGUGCGUAACGCGUAUACAAUCUGCCUUUCACUGGGGGAUAGCCCGAAGAAAUUUGGAUUAAUACCCCAUAGUAUAGAGUCACGGCAUCGUGGAACUAUUAAAGCCUUGGUGGUGAAAGAUGAGUAUGCGUUCUAUUAGCUAGUUGGAGAGGUAACGGCUCCCCAAGGCUACGAUAGAUAGGGGUUCUGAGAGGGAUGUCCCCCACACUGGUACUGAGAUACGGACCAGACUCCUACGGGAGGCAGCAGUGAGGAAUAUUGGACAAUGGUCGGAAGACUGAUCCAGCCAUGCCGCGUGCAGGAUGAAGGUCCUAUGGAUUGUAAACUGCUUUUGUAAGGGAAGAAUAAGGAGUACGCGUACUUUGAUGACGGUACCUUAUGAAUAAGCAUCGGCUAACUCCGUGCCAGCAGCCGCGGUAAUACGGAGGAUGCAAGCGUUAUCCGGAAUCAUUGGGUUU